This 440-nucleotide ribosomal RNA is filed under the name uncultured bacterium. RNAcentral's name for it is "partial 16S ribosomal RNA". It matches the Rfam family "Bacterial small subunit ribosomal RNA", at positions 338 to 795 of the family's 1533-position model. The record is from RNAcentral.
CCUACGGGCGGCAGCAGUGGGGAAUAUUGCACAAUGGGGGAAACCCUGAUGCAGCGACGCCGCGUGAGGGAAGAAGUAUUUCGGUAUGUAAAGCUCUAUCAGCAGGGAAGAAAAUGACGGUACCUGAUUAAGAAGCCCCGGCUAACUACGUGCCAGCAGCCGCGGUAAGACGUAGGGGGCAAGCGUUAUCCGGAUUUCCUGGGUGUAAAGGGAGCGUAGACGGCAGAACAAGUCUGGAGUGAAAUGCUGGGGCUUAACCCCGGAACUGCUUUGGAAACUGUGCAGCUAGAGUGCAGGAGAGGUAAGUGGAAUUCCUAGUGUAGCGGUGAAAUGCGUAGAUAUUAGGAGGAACACCAGUGGCGAAGGCGGCUUACUGGACUGUAACUGACGUUGAGGCUCGAAAGCGUGGGGAGCAAACAGGAUUAGAUACCCCUGUAGUC